UACGUAGGGCGCGAGCGUUGUCCGGAAUUAUUGGGCGUAAAGAGCUCGUAGGCGGCGCGGUAAGUCGGGUGUGAAAUCUCGGAGCUUAACUCCGAAACUGCAUUCGAUACUGCCGUGCUUGAGGACUGGAGAGGAGACUGGAAUUUACGGUGUAGCGGUGAAAUGCGUAGAUAUCGUAAGGAAGACCAGUGGCGAAGGCGGGUCUCUGGACAGUUCCUGACGCUGAGGCACGAAGGUCAGGGGAGCAAACGGG
RNAcentral lists this ribosomal RNA (253 nucleotides) under uncultured bacterium. Its description in RNAcentral is "partial 16S ribosomal RNA". It matches the Rfam family "Bacterial small subunit ribosomal RNA", at positions 524 to 776 of the family's 1533-position model. The record is from RNAcentral.